Molecule: ribosomal RNA, 483 nt
Filed under: Bacillus sp. IDA1635
Lineage: Bacteria; Bacillati; Bacillota; Bacilli; Caryophanales; Bacillaceae
Description: bacterial SSU rRNA
Rfam family: Bacterial small subunit ribosomal RNA
Source: RNAcentral
ACGAACGCUGGCGGCGUGCCUAAUACAYRCAAGUCGAGMGAAYCUUUARGAGCUUGCUYCYAAARRUUAGCGGCGGACGGGUGAGUAACACGUGGGCAACCUGCCUGUAAGACUGGGAUAACAUCGGGAAACCGAUGCUAAUACCGGAUAAUCCUUUUCCUCUCAUGAGGAAAAGCUGAAAGUCGGUUUACGCUGACACUUACAGAUGGGCCCGCGGCGCAUUAGCUAGUUGGUGAGGUAACGGCUCACCAAGGCGACGAUGCGUAGCCGACCUGAGAGGGUGAUCGGCCACACUGGGACUGAGACACGGCCCAGACUCCUACGGGAGGCAGCAGUAGGGAAUCUUCCACAAUGGACGAAAGUCUGAUGGAGCAACGCCGCGUGAGCGAUGAAGGCCUUCGGGUCGUAAAGCUCUGUUGUUAGGGAAGAACAAGUAUCGGAGUAACUGCCGGUACCUUGACGGUACCUAACCAGAAAGCCACG